GACGAACGCUGGCGGCGUGCUUAACACAUGCAAGUCGAACGGAAAGGCCCUGCUUGCCGGGUACUCGAGUGUCGAACGGGUGAGUAACACGUGGGUGAUCUGCCCUCCACUUCGGGAUAAGCCUUGGAAACUGGGUCUAAUACCGGAUAGGAGCCAUUUUUAUUCUGAUGGUUGGAAAGUUUUUUCGGUGUAGGAUGAGCUCGCGGCCUAUCAGCUUGUUGGUGGGGUAAUGGCUUACCAAGGCGGCGACGGGUAGCCGGCCUGAGAGGGUGGACGGCCACAUUGGGACUGAGAUACGGCCCAGACUCCUACGGGAGGCAGCAGUGGGGAAUAUUGCACAAUGGGCGCAAGCCUGAUGCAGCGACGCCGCGUGGGGGAUGAAGGCCUUCGGGUUGUAAACUCCUUUCGCUAGGGACGAAGCUUUUGUGACGGUACCUAGAUAAGAAGCACCGGCUAACUACGUG
RNAcentral lists this ribosomal RNA (464 nucleotides) under uncultured bacterium. RNAcentral's name for it is "partial 16S ribosomal RNA". It matches the Rfam family "Bacterial small subunit ribosomal RNA", at positions 28 to 507 of the family's 1533-position model. The record is from RNAcentral.